Molecule: ribosomal RNA, 375 nt
Filed under: uncultured bacterium
Lineage: Bacteria
Description: bacterial SSU rRNA
Rfam family: Bacterial small subunit ribosomal RNA
Source: RNAcentral
UACGUAGGUGGCAAGCGUUGUCCGGAUUUACUGGGCGUAAAGCGUGCGUAGGCGGCUGAUUAAGUCGGAUGUGAAAUCCCUGAGCUUAACUUAGGAAUUGCAUUCGAUACUGGUCAGCUAGAGUAUGGGAGAGGAUGGUAGAAUUCCAGGUGUAGCGGUGAAAUGCGUAGAGAUCUGGAGGAAUACCGAUGGCGAAGGCAGCCAUCUGGCCUAAUACUGACGCUGAGGUACGAAAGCAUGGGGAGCAAACAGGAUUAGAUACCCUGGUAGUCCAUGCCGUAAACGAUGUCUACUAGCCGUUGGGGCCUUUGAGGCUUUAGUGGCGCAGCUAACGCGAUAAGUAGACCGCCUGGGGAGUACGGUCGCAAGACUAAA